Molecule: RNA transcript, 2710 nt
Organism: Mus musculus (house mouse)
Lineage: Eukaryota; Metazoa; Chordata; Mammalia; Rodentia; Muridae
Gene name: predicted gene, 38529
Exons: 2
Source: RefSeq, a predicted model, not a curated record
UGUAGACCUGAAAGGUAUAAAGUCACAAGUAUGAGUACACUGUAAUUCCCAGUGCACUUGAUAAGCUAAUAUAUAAUCCCAAUGCUCCAACCAUGACAUGGGAGGUGGACACAUGAGAGUCUUGGAAGCCUGAGGGCCAGCUCACCUGAUACAUGCAGCACUGAACAAGAGAUAGUGUCUCCAAUAAGGUGGAAAGCCAGGACUGACAUGUGAGGUUGUUCUCUGCUCUCAAGUGUCCUUUGCUCUCAAGUAUACCAUGGCCUGUUUGUGUGUAUAAACUGUUAUGGUGGGACGCAGUCUUAACUCCUUACACUGCAGUUAUUUCUUAAAAGUCCCAAGGUAAAAAAUAAAGGCACUAAUAUGUUUUUAUAACCCCUCAAUAAUUCUUAAGACUGUAUCACUUGAUAGUGAUAAAAGUCUGAAACAAAUAUUUAACAAGAUCUGUUCUAUGUCAAUAAAGUGUGGGUUUUUUUUUUUUUUAAACUUGCUUUAAGACACACAGAUGUUUAAAGUAGACUCCUGAUCUUUUUGUUGUGGCUGAUAAUUAGGAACAAUCACAGAACAGACAAUAUGAAGAAAUAGGUUCAAAGUGCAUGGAGGGGGUCUGUAUGAACGGGAAGGAGGCUGAAGCAACUGUCUCUGUUGGAAAGUCAUUCAUCUCUCAUAGGUUCAGUGAGUCUGGAUUUUCACUCAUCCCCACUUUUCACAAGUACUCUGGUUUUUAAGUCCUUAUUGCCUCCAUUAAACUCUUGUAUCUAAAACAGCUUCCAAUUUUUGCCUUCCUACACAACUGUCACUCUAGGGUUGACUCACAGCACUUUUUAAAGUUUGCACUGUGUCUACCACCAAGGACACAUCACUGAUGGCUGUCUCACAUAACUCAGGGUCCGAAAAUUAAACAGGCUGAACAUGCGGCUGGCUGAACUGAACCAAUUUAAUCCUCUUGAGUGUGGACCGGACACUGCCAUUUGCUCAGCAGUCUGACCAGGUACAUCUUAAGUGGUGACAACAAUUCUGGCUGAAGGUUGCAAUUAGAAACCAAUUUUAAAACCAGAGUGUGCUGGCUUAAAACGGAAGAGAAACCCAUUGCCCAGAUGCGUCGGGAGCGCCAAACGCUGGCCUACGACGGGCUCCCGGCCACCUCAGGUCUCCCGCUCCUGCCGGGCGCACCCCGCGCACAGAGUGAGCGUUCACGCUCGCUCCCGCCCCUCGCGAGGAAGGAGCCGCGGGGUGUGGCGGCCGCUUCCUCGGUCAGGCGGUGUCCCCACCCCCGUCCUUCCGCGUCUGCCCGCCGUCCGCGGGGCACUCGGGGACGUCGCGGCGCCACGACUCGUCCCGCAGCGUCCGGGGACAGGGUGCACCGCGGGGCCGCUGCCCACCUCAGGCCCCGGGACUCCGCGCGUAGGCCUGCGAGGCCUCCACUCGAGUCCGAGUGUCAAGCAGCGGCCACCGCGCCUGAAGCGGGUCGCAGGAGUGGGCCACCAUCCCCGGAGCCCGCCUCGCCUCUCAGCGCAGCGCGUCACUCACAUUUUGGCGGCGGUGGCGGCGGCGAAUGGCCGAGGGUCGACGGACUCGCGCUGCAGGCAACCGAGGCUGAGGAGAUGGGCGGGGCCGUGGUGACGUCACGAGCGGUGGCCGGACCGGAACCCGCGACGCGCUCUUAGUCGCCAGGGGCGCGCCGGAAAUGGGCGGGAUAGGAAUCGAGCCGGGCGCAGCGCGGGCUGUCACCUCGGAGCAGAGCGGAGUGGGAGGGGCCAGAGCUUGCGCUGAAGUAGCGCCGGCGCUGACGAGUGGGCGGGCGUUCUCGGUGGACAAGUGGGCGGGGCUAGAGCGCGGCGCCUGCGCCUUUGGGCUGGGCUCUUCGCCGCCAAGGAAUCACAGCAGCUCCCUGCAGUGUCUCUGCUGCCCUGUCUCUAGCCCUGGAAAGGCAGUUUAGAGUGAGAAUGGGUACGUUUUACAUUACUGUGAGCCCGCAUACCUUGUCUCUCAUGUUAGAAACAGCGGACGUGCCUAACGUUCCAGAAUAAUCUAGUGGUCCUGAGGAGACAAAGUUCUUUUCUGAGAAAGAGGCAGUAGGAAGUCCAUGUGGAGUCUUGGCCACAGGAUUUGGGAGAAGUCUCCUCUCAGGUUCUCACAUGACAAAUAUUUGCCAUUGCACGGAUAUUAAAUCCCUAAAGGGAGCCUUGGCUUAGAGAACUGUAAGGUUCUUCAUUUCUGUAAUUCCCUGGCCCUUGCGGAGACGACACUCAAUUUUUGUUCAACGGGGGUGAGUAGUUAUGUGGAAAAGAAUCCCAACAAGGUCUAAAACAGACUAAAUAAACUCCGUUGGUGGAUUCACUCAAUGAAAUACACUAAGGUAUUUUUCCACUUCAGCAUGGUAACUCCCAAAGGUGUGUGUUGCAAUUAAAGAGCGCCACACCAGUGGGUACUAGGUUGAGUAGUAGUUAUAAAAACCAUUCUGGAUAGGAGGAAAUGGAGAGUGUGGGGCCGGGCUUAAACAGUGAACAGAAAAUGCAGUGGGCUCCUGGUGGGAGGUUCAGAGUGUGAAACUGGCACUAGUUCUGAGGUAGAUCAGAAGUGAAGUCCUACCAGAGAGAUAACAGAACUCUACAGCCAAGAGGACUGGAACAGUGACGAAGAAUACCUAGCAGGGAGGCCUUGUGAGGUAAGCUGGAAAGGGUCUUAAAAAAAAAAAAAACACACACAAAAA